UAGGUUAACGAGGCGAACCGGGGGAACUGAAACAUCUAAGUACCCCGAGGAAAAGAAAUCAACCGAGAUUCCCCCAGUAGCGGCGAGCGAACGGGGAGCAGCCCAGAGUCUGAAUCAGCUUGUGUGUUAGUGGAACGGUCUGGAAAGUCCGACGGUACAGGGUGAUAGUCCCGUACACCAAAAUGCACAGGUUGUGAACUCGAAGAGUAGGGCGGGACACGUGGUAUCCUGUCUGAAUAUGGGGGGACCAUCCUCCAAGGCUAAAUACUCCUGACUGACCGAUAGUGAACCAGUACCGUGAGGGAAAGGCGAAAAGAACCCCGGCGAGGGGAGUGAAAAAGAACCUGAAACCGUGUACGUACAAGCAGUGGGAGCACCUUCGGGUGUGACUGCGUACCUUUUGUAUAAUGGGUCAGCGACUUAUAUUCUGUAGCAAGGUUAACCGUAUAGGGGAGCCGCAGGGAAACCGAGUCUUAACUGGGCGUUAAGUUGCAGGGUAUAGACCCGAAACCCGGUGAUCUAGCCAUGGGCAGGUUGAAGGUUGGGUAACACUAACUGGAGGACCGAACCGACUAAUGUUGAAAAAUUAGCGGAUGACUUGUGGCUGGGGGUGAAAGGCCAAUCAAACCGGGAGAUAGCUGGUUCUCCCCGAAAGCUAUUUAGGUAGCGCCUCGUGAACUCAUCUUCGGGGGUAGAGCACUGUUUCGGCUAGGGGGUCAUCCCGACUUACCAACCCGAUGCAAACUACGAAUACCGAAGAAUGUUAUCACGGGAGACACACGGCGGGUGCUAACGUCCGUCGUGAAGAGGGAAACAACCCAGACCGCCAGCUAAGGUCCCAAAGUCAUGGUUAAGUGGGAAACGAUGUGGGAAGGCACAGACAGCCAGGAUGUUGGCUUAGAAGCAGCCAUCAUUUAAAGAAAGCGUAAUAGCUCACUGGUCGAGUCGGCCUGCGCGGAAGAUGUAACGGGGCUAAACCAUGCACCGAAGCUGCGGCAGCGACACUAUGUGUUGUUGGGUAGGGGAGCGUUCUGUAAGCCUGCGAAGGUGGCCUGUGAGGG
RNAcentral lists this ribosomal RNA (1061 nucleotides) under Klebsiella variicola. Its description in RNAcentral is "partial 23S ribosomal RNA". It matches the Rfam family "Bacterial large subunit ribosomal RNA", at positions 167 to 1269 of the family's 2925-position model. Lineage: Bacteria; Pseudomonadati; Pseudomonadota; Gammaproteobacteria; Enterobacterales; Enterobacteriaceae. RNAcentral also lists the same sequence under 1 other name. The record is from RNAcentral.